This 468-nucleotide ribosomal RNA is filed under the name uncultured bacterium. RNAcentral describes it as "partial 16S ribosomal RNA". It matches the Rfam family "Bacterial small subunit ribosomal RNA", at positions 28 to 507 of the family's 1533-position model. The record is from RNAcentral.
GAUGAACGCUGGCGGCGUGCUUAACACAUGCAAGUCGAACGGAAAGGCCCUGCCUUUGUGGGGUGCUCGAGUGGCGAACGGGUGAGUAACACGUGAGUAACCUGCCCUUCACUUUGGGAUAAGUCUGGGAAACUGGGGCUAAUACCGGAUAGGAGCUCGUGCUGCAUGGUGGUGUGGAGAGAGUUUCGGUGGGUGGGGAUAUAGUGGCGGCUUAGCAGUUUGUUGGUGUGGUAGUGGCUUACCAAGGCUACGAGGGGUAGCCGGCAUGGGAGGUGGACCGGCCACAUUGGGCUUAGGAUAGGCCCCAGACCCCUAUGGGAGGCAGCGGGGGGAAAAAUGGCACAUGGGCGCGAAGCCGGUGCCGGCACCGCGGGGGGCGGAAGACCGCCUUCGGGGUGUAAACCCGCUUUGGAAUGUACCAAACGUUUAGUGACGGUAACUGGUAAAGAAGCACCGGCUAACUACGUG